This 624-nucleotide long non-coding RNA is filed under the name Amborella trichopoda. RNAcentral's name for it is "long non-coding RNA (ATRI_LNC003672)". The record is from RNAcentral. Lineage: Eukaryota; Viridiplantae; Streptophyta; Magnoliopsida; Amborellales; Amborellaceae.
UUCCUGGAACCCCAAAGUUCCAACUCCUUUAGGAUUCCCAACUCCCAAUCCCAUACUCCCUAGAACUCCUAGCUUCUAUACACCCUAUAACCCUUAGCUUCCAAUCCUACUCCAUACACCCUACACCCCACCUUGGUUUACCUACACCCUAACUUACACUAUACACCAUAGUACAUCAUAUACCCUGCUCUAUUCUAUACACCCUGCUCUAUUCUAUACACCCUACUCUAUUCUAUACACCUUAGGAUGCUUAUGCCUUAGGUCAUUCUAUACACCCUAGUCCCUAUACACCAUACCUCAACCCAACCCAUCUAAGCCAUCCACCUAGACUUUAAACCUUAACCUAGACCCACAAAGACCAAGACCUCUCUCUCUCUCUCUCAUGUGUAUACAAAGGGACCGAUGAAGGUGCACCUAGGCUAAGGCCCAUUCUAGGUCCACUGUCUCUCCUCUCUCUUCUCUCUAUCUUCUUUUUUCUUCUCUCUUUUGUUUUUCUCUUCUCUCCCUUCCUUUUCUCUUUUUCUCUUUCUUUCUUCUCUCUCCUCUCUCUCUCUCUCUCAGCCAGCAGUCAGCACCCUCUCUUCUCUCUCUCUCUCUCUCUCUCUCUCUCUCUCUCUCUCUCUC